Molecule: long non-coding RNA, 266 nt
Filed under: Elaeis guineensis (African oil palm)
Lineage: Eukaryota; Viridiplantae; Streptophyta; Magnoliopsida; Arecales; Arecaceae
Description: long non-coding RNA (EGUI_LNC017855)
Source: RNAcentral
GCUCAUGAAUUUGGGUACGAUGUUCGUCGGAUUUUCUUCGAUACUAAACUUCAAUAAGCAGAGAUAUAUAUUUUGCAAAAUUACGAGGAGGUUGACCCAUAGUAUCCAUUACAAUCUCAACUUUUUAAUCACUUAUUUCAGUAUACUUAUCUUAUACAUAUUUAGGCAAUAUGAUGAGAUGUUGAAAUGAGAUAACUCGAGGAUAAGUGAUGAAGAAAUAUCCACAUGAUGCUCAUAAAACUUUGCAUAUUGAUUCCAUUAAUUGG